UGUGGUUAAAAAGCUCGUAGUUGGAUCUCGGCGGUCUGAGGGCGGUUCGCUUAAUUGAGUGCUACUGCUCUAUAGGCCGUGGUGUUGCCAGAGGUCUCGGGGUGCUCUUAACCGAGUGUCCUGCGAUGCUGGCAGGUUUACUUUGAAAAAAUUAGAGUGCUCAAAGCAGGCUUUUACGCCUGAAUAUUCGUGCAUGGAAUAAUAGAAUAGGAAGUCGUUUCUAUUUUGUUGGUUUUCGGAAAUCGACUUAAUGAUUAAUAGGGACAGUCGGGGGCAUUUGUAUUCAAACGACAGAGGUGAAAUUCUUGGACCGUUUGAAGACAAACUACUGCGAAAGCAUUUGCCAAGAAUGUUUUCAUUAAUCAAGAACGAAAGUUAGAGGUUCGAAGGCGAUUAGAUACCGCCCUAGUUCUAACCAUAAACGAUGCCAGCUAGCGAUCUGCCGACGUUUUCUUUGUAGACUCGGCAGGAAGCUUCCGGGAAACCAAAGCAUUUGGGUUCCAGGGGAAGUAUGGUUGCAAAGCUGAAACUUAAAGGAAUUGACGGAAGGGCACCACCAGGAGUGGAGCCUGUGGCUUAAUU
RNAcentral lists this ribosomal RNA (582 nucleotides) under uncultured marine eukaryote. RNAcentral describes it as "SSU rRNA". It matches the Rfam family "Eukaryotic small subunit ribosomal RNA", at positions 614 to 1195 of the family's 1831-position model. The record is from RNAcentral.